This 293-nucleotide ribosomal RNA is filed under the name uncultured bacterium. Its description in RNAcentral is "partial 16S ribosomal RNA". It matches the Rfam family "Bacterial small subunit ribosomal RNA", at positions 505 to 796 of the family's 1533-position model. The record is from RNAcentral.
GUGUCAGCAGCCGCGGUAAGACGGAGGGCGCAAGCGUUGUUCGGAAUUACUGGGCGUAAAGCGCGAGCAGGUGGUCUGUUAAGUCUUUUGUGAAAACCCGGGGCUCAACUCCGUGGAAUGCAGAAGAUACUGGCAGGCUAGAGAACAGUAGAGGCUAGCGGAAUUCCUGGUGUAGCGGUGGAAUGCGUAGAUAUCAGGAAGAACACCUGUGGCGAAGGCGGCUAGCUGGGCUGUUUCUGACACUCAUCCGCGAAAGCGUGGGGAGCAAACAGGAUUAGAUACCCCGGUAGUCC